GACGAACGCUGGCGGCGUGCUUAACACAUGCAAGUCGAACGGAAAGGCCCUGCUUUUGUGGGGUGCUCGAGUGGCGAACGGGUGAGUAACACGUGAGUAACCUGCCCCUGCCUUUGGGAUAACUUCAGGAAACUGGGGCUAAUACCGGAUAGGAGCUCCUGCCGCAUGGUGGGGGUUGGAAAGUUUCGGCGGUUGGGGAUGGACUCGCGGCGUAUCAGCUUGUUGGUGGGGUAGUGGCUUACCAAGGCUUUGACGGGUAGCCGGCCUGCGAGGGUGACCGGCCACAUUGGGACUGGAAUGAGGCCCAGCCUCCAACGGGAGGCAGCGGUGGGGAAUAGUGCACAAUGGGCUGAAGCCUGAUCCGGCACCGCCGUGUGGGGGAAGACGGCAUUCGGGUAGUAAUCCGCUUUCGCCUGUCACGAGACGUGAAUGACGGUAAUGGGUAAAGAAGCACCGGCUAACUACGUG
Molecule: ribosomal RNA, 468 nt
Filed under: uncultured bacterium
Lineage: Bacteria
Description: partial 16S ribosomal RNA
Rfam family: Bacterial small subunit ribosomal RNA
Source: RNAcentral